AAAAUGCGAUAAGUAGUGUGACUUGCAGAUUCCUGUGAUUCAUCAAAUUCUCGAACGCAGCCUGCACUUAAAUGGUCUCCAUUUAAGUGUGUUUGGUUGAGUGGGAUUUUCAUCAUCUAUCUCUCACACAAAAUGUGUGAAUGGAUUUUGUCAGACAAUAACAAUAUAACAUGUAAUGGUCUGAUUAAUUAGAUAUAGAAAGUGGAAUAAAAAUCUAUAGCUCAUUUUUAAAUGAGGCUUUUAGCUUGUUUUGAAAAAAAACUUCAAUCAAGUGAAGCUUUGUUAAAAAGAAAGUGUGUCUUUAUUUUUUUCUUCCACAUAUUUGUUCUGUUUCAUGCAAAUGAAAAACAAAUUCAAAUCCCCUCAACUCAAGCACGAACACCCGCUGAACUUAAGC
This 397-nucleotide unclassified non-coding RNA is filed under the name plant metagenome. Its description in RNAcentral is "partial contains 5.8S ribosomal RNA, internal transcribed spacer 2, and large subunit ribosomal RNA". The stretch from base 1 to 106 matches the Rfam family "5.8S ribosomal RNA", at positions 50 to 154 of the family's 154-position model. The record is from RNAcentral.